CUCGAUAAUCCACGAAAAUCUUACCCUCUCUAGAUCAACCAGCUUGUGUACUGCCGUCGUAAGCACACCUCUAAAAGUACGAGUAUGCAACUAUGUCAAACUCAUAUACGUCAGGUCAAAGUGCAGCUAAUGAAAGGGGCGACGAUGGGUUACACCCUAAAUAAAGAUACGAAAUAUGGCACCAAAAGCCACAUGAAGGUGGACUUGGACGUAACAAAAAUACAAAAUUAAAAUGAAAACGAAUCUGAGACAUGCACACAUCGCCCGUCACUCUUGCCCAAAGGUGAGAUAAGUCGUAACAAAGUAGGUGUAACGGAAGUUGCACCUGUCGAAGUAUAGCAUAUAUAAUGCUUUUUACUUACACUAAAAAUAAAACAUGUUGUUUGCUUCGCUUAUUUAAAUUAAUCAUCUAACAUCAUAUUAAAUAAAACAUUUAAACAUUUAUUCCUACUAACUUACUAAAUCAAAGUACUAAAAAGGAAACAACAAUCCUAAAGUAGUGAUAGCUCACGUACCUUGUGCAUUAUGGUUUUACAAGCUAUAAAUUUAUAAUAUCCUCCCGAAUUCUACACGAGCUGUCUACAUAUAGCUUAGAGCCCACUACUAGUUGUAGCAACAACUUUAGAAAAUAUGUUAACAGAGGCUACAUACCACCCGCGUUAGAAAAUUGCUGGUUUUCAGUAAAAUUUAUUAAUUAAAACAUGUAGUAACAACUACAAUGUAAGACUUCAGAGGAUAAGCCCUGUAGUCUAAAGCUAAUAAACACACCACUAAAUAAUUAGGCCUAAAAACAGCCACCUACAUUACCUUACCGUAACACUUAUAAAAUAUUUGAAACUAUAUGCACCCAAAAACUGAAAUUUAAAACAAACUUCAAAUAUUAAAAUAUUAUGUAAAAAUAAGUAUUAAGCACAAAUAAUUACUAUACUAAACCUUUUUCUCAAUAAAUUAAACAAAAACUUAUAAAGGAACUCAGCAAAUUCUUAUUUCGACUGUUUAACAAAAACAUUGCUUCCG
Molecule: unclassified non-coding RNA, 1017 nt
Filed under: Aporrectodea trapezoides
Lineage: Eukaryota; Metazoa; Annelida; Clitellata; Crassiclitellata; Lumbricidae
Description: partial contains 12S ribosomal RNA, tRNA-Val, and 16S ribosomal RNA
Rfam family: Bacterial small subunit ribosomal RNA (bases 1-341)
Source: RNAcentral